GCCGGUGUGGCGGAAUUGGUAGACGCAGCGGAUUCAAAAUCCGCCGCUGUAACAGGCGUGCCAGUUCGAGUCUGGCCACCGGCACCA
RNAcentral lists this transfer RNA (87 nucleotides) under Vreelandella aquamarina. RNAcentral's name for it is "tRNA-Leu". It matches the Rfam family "tRNA". From Rfam's summary of the family: Transfer RNA (tRNA) molecules are approximately 80 nucleotides in length. Lineage: Bacteria; Pseudomonadati; Pseudomonadota; Gammaproteobacteria; Oceanospirillales; Halomonadaceae. RNAcentral also lists the same sequence under 13 other names. The record is from RNAcentral.